This 466-nucleotide ribosomal RNA is filed under the name Alteromonas sp. R-250. RNAcentral's name for it is "bacterial SSU rRNA". It matches the Rfam family "Bacterial small subunit ribosomal RNA", at positions 213 to 671 of the family's 1533-position model. RNAcentral also lists the same sequence under 1 other name. The record is from RNAcentral. Lineage: Bacteria; Pseudomonadati; Pseudomonadota; Gammaproteobacteria; Alteromonadales; Alteromonadaceae.
UCCGGCGCAAAGAGAGGCCCAAGUGAGAUUAGCUAGUUGGUAAGGUAACGGCUUACCAAGGCGACGAUCUCUAGCUGUUCUGAGAGGAAGAUCAGCCACACUGGGACUGAGACACGGCCCAGACUCCUACGGGAGGCAGCAGUGGGGAAUAUUGCACAAUGGGGGAAACCCUGAUGCAGCCAUGCCGCGUGUGUGAAGAAGGCCUUCGGGUUGUAAAGCACUUUCAGUUGUGAGGAAAAGUUAGUAGUUAAUACCUGCUAGCCGUGACGUUAACAACAGAAGAAGCACCGGCUAACUCCGUGCCAGCAGCCGCGGUAAUACGGAGGGUGCGAGCGUUAAUCGGAAUUACUGGGCGUAAAGCGCACGCAGGCGGUUUGUUAAGCUAGAUGUGAAAGCCCCGGGCUCAACCUGGGAUGGUCAUUUAGAACUGGCAGACUAGAGUCUUGGAGAGGGGAGUGGAAUUCCA